RNAcentral lists this ribosomal RNA (544 nucleotides) under uncultured archaeon. RNAcentral's name for it is "bacterial SSU rRNA". It matches the Rfam family "Archaeal small subunit ribosomal RNA", at positions 102 to 651 of the family's 1478-position model. The record is from RNAcentral.
GGACAACCUAACCUAUGGUGGGGGAUAACCCCGGGAAACUGGGGAUAAUACCCCAUAGACUAUGGAAGCUGGAAUGCUCUGUAGCCGAAAGGUCAGCCGCCGUAGGAUGGGUCUGCGGCCGAUUAGGUAGUUGUUGGGGUAACGGCCCGACAAGCCUGUAAUCGGUACGGGUUGUGGGAGCAAGAGCCCGGAGAUGGAUUCUGAGACACGAAUCCAGGCCCUACGGGGCGCAGCAGGCGCGAAAACUUUACAAUGCGGGAAACCGUGAUAAGGGAACUCCGAGUGCCCGUUAAAUCGGGCUGUCCACCAGUUUAAAUAACUGGUGAAGAAAGGGCCGGGCAAGACCGGUGCCAGCCGCCGCGGUAAUACCGGCGGCUCGAGUGGUGGCCACUAUUACUGGGCUUAAAGCGUUCGUAGCUGGUUUGUUAAGUCUCUGGGGAAAUCUUCCGGCUUAACCGGAAGGCGUCUCAGGGAUACUGGCAGACUAGGGACCGGAAGAGGUGAGGGGUACUCCAGGGGUAGGAGUGAAAUCCUGUAAUCCUUG